UACGGAGGGAGCUAGCGUUAUUCGGAAUUACUGGGCGUAAAGCGCACGUAGGCGGCUUUGCAAGUUAGAGGUGAAAGCCUGGAGCUCAACUCCAGAACUGCCUUUAAAACUGCAUCGCUUGAAUCCAGGAGAGGUGAGUGGAAUUCCGAGUGUAGAGGUGAAGUUCGUAGAUAUUCGGAAGAACACCAGUGGCGAAGGCGGCUCACUGGACUGGUAUUGACGCUGAGGUGCGAAAGCGUGGGGAGCAAACAGG
RNAcentral lists this ribosomal RNA (253 nucleotides) under uncultured bacterium. Its description in RNAcentral is "partial 16S ribosomal RNA". It matches the Rfam family "Bacterial small subunit ribosomal RNA", at positions 524 to 776 of the family's 1533-position model. The record is from RNAcentral.